This 422-nucleotide ribosomal RNA is filed under the name uncultured bacterium. Its description in RNAcentral is "partial 16S ribosomal RNA". It matches the Rfam family "Bacterial small subunit ribosomal RNA", at positions 360 to 774 of the family's 1533-position model. The record is from RNAcentral.
AAUUUUGGACACUGGGGGAAUCCCUGAUCCAGCGCUCCCGCGUGUAUGGUGAAGGCCUUCGGGUUGUAAUGUAGUUUUGGCGGAGAAGAUAAGUUAUCUCUUAUUAUGAGCUCCGGCUGACGGUAUCUGCAGAUUAAGUCCCGGCUAACUACGGUCCAGCUGCCGCGGUAAUACGUAGGGUCCAAGCGUUAAUCGGAAUUACUGGGCGUAAGGCGUGUGUAGGCGGUUCGGAAAGAAAGAUGUGAAAGCCCAGGGCUCAACCUUGGAACUGCAUUUUUAACUGCCGAGCCAGAGUAUGUCAGGGGGGGGUAGAAUUCCACGUGUAGCAGUGAAAUGCGUAGAUAUGUGGAGGAAUACCGAUGGCGAAGGCAGCCCCCUGGGAUAAUACUGACGCUCAGACACGAAAGCGUGGGGAGCAAACA